UCGUGGUUGGAGUGAUAAUAGAGGAGGGUGGACUUGAUUGUUCUAGGAAUCCAAAAAUAUGAGCGAAGGUGAAGACACAAACCCAAAUCUGCCCCAUUUAAUAGGACCAAAUAAUAUGGUCUGAAUCAACCAAACAUUGUGGUAGUAUUAAUUUUGACACUUCAGGAAUACUUGCAUCUCAAAAAUUGGUGGAAAAGAAAAAAAUCA
RNAcentral lists this long non-coding RNA (207 nucleotides) under Hordeum vulgare. Its description in RNAcentral is "long non-coding RNA (HVUL_LNC002279)". The record is from RNAcentral. Lineage: Eukaryota; Viridiplantae; Streptophyta; Magnoliopsida; Poales; Poaceae.